Triticum aestivum (bread wheat) is the source of this 974-nucleotide long non-coding RNA. RefSeq lists it as uncharacterized. The record is from RefSeq and is a predicted model, not a curated record. The transcript is spliced from 6 exons. Lineage: Eukaryota; Viridiplantae; Streptophyta; Magnoliopsida; Poales; Poaceae.
GGACAGUUAUUAUUUAGGUACCCUGCACAGGCCUGUUUACUCCACUUUCCCCAAAUCGACCGAAGAACCCUAGUUGCAGAUAAUGCCGAACGCCAAAGGUGCAGAUCCGGUCGUCCGUUGCUCGUCGCGGCCAGUUCGCCGGUGACCACCUCUACAAGUGUCGCAAUCAUAAUCCGGGGCGUGGUGGAUGCGAUUUUUACCGGUGGCAGGAAGCCUAUGUGGAGCACCUGGCUUCGCUUGGUCCGGCGCCAGCUCCGCUGGCGCAAAUCAAUCCAGGGCAGCAGUAAUGUCGCAAGAACACCUUCAGAGAUGCAGUCAUCUUGUGCUGCAGAUUUUCAACAGACUUGACACUGGGUCCAUCACUCUGUACUCUGAAUUUAUGGGCAUGCUCCGAGCAGCAGAGCAAUAGCAGUGAAAAAAUGACUGUCCGCGAUUCAACCACGCCUCCGGCACGAUUUGUGGUCUCUGUCGUGGCUUCUCAAGAUGCAAUCUGAACAUUGGUGACCGCCUAGCUAGAUUGAUAGAAGCACAUAGAGGGAAACAAAAAUGCACUCCACAUGCUGGAUCAGGCUCCAUGCCAAGCUCCUCUACAGGAUUGAACAUCACACAUCUCCAGAUGCAAAUGCCCACAGCGCAAACACUGGAGAUGAACUUUGCACAUUCACUUAUGCAGACUUCUGACCACGUGUAUCCAGACAAAUACAAAACUCCUGAUACCACACUGCCGGCGACACACUACUGUUGCAAGCAACCAAAUGCCCGUCCUCCACUAACAAUUCUACUCGUGCAGACAACCUACAUGCUGAUUUAGAACAGCUGGCAUCACCGAACUGCCCGCCAACGCCAUUCCAUGUACGUAGCGAUAGCUAAAUAGUGUCCAUACCAGAAUCAAUUGCAUGGACAAACAAGCGACAACGGUGAGGUGCUGCAAGAGAGCUGGACUGGAAGAAACAGAAAACAAAAGGCCCAUUAGU